UUCAGCUGCAGAUGAUUCUGACCUGCUAGCGCGCUAAGAUGUCAUCAUGAAGAGCUGCCUACUGGAUUUGACUGAACUGACCAUUCAUCUACAAGUUGUUAGCUGUGACUACCAUCUUCUACAUAGGAAAAGAUGCAUUAAACUGUGACAAUAAAGAAUGUCAUGUUCUGA
This is a long non-coding RNA of Lagopus muta (rock ptarmigan), 171 nucleotides long. RefSeq lists it as uncharacterized. NCBI's taxonomy places the organism in Eukaryota, Metazoa, Chordata, Aves, Galliformes, Phasianidae. The record is from RefSeq and is a predicted model, not a curated record. The transcript has 2 exons.